RNAcentral lists this ribosomal RNA (484 nucleotides) under uncultured Leptospirillum sp. RNAcentral's name for it is "bacterial SSU rRNA". It matches the Rfam family "Bacterial small subunit ribosomal RNA", at positions 54 to 516 of the family's 1533-position model. Lineage: Bacteria; Pseudomonadati; Nitrospirota; Nitrospiria; Nitrospirales; Nitrospiraceae. The record is from RNAcentral.
CAUGCAAGUCCGACGUGAAAGGGGAGCAAUCCCCCGGUAGGGUGGCAAACGGGUGAGUAAGACAUGGGUGAUCUGCCCUGGAGAUGGGGAUAUCCCUCCGAAAGGGGGGGCAAUACCGAAUAGUAUCCGGUUCCGUGAAGGGGACCGGGGAAAGGGAGGCCUCUGGUACAAGCUUCCGCUCCUGGAUGAGCCCAUGGCCCAUCAGCUAGUUGGUAGGGUAAAGGCCUACCAAGGCAACGACGGGUAGCUGGUCUGAGAGGACAACCAGCCACACUGGCACUGAGACACGGGCCAGACUCCUACGGGAGGCAGCAGUGAGGAAUAUUGCGCAAUGGGGGCAACCCUGACGCAGCAACGCCGCGUGUGGGAAGAAGGCUUUCGGGUUGUAAACCACUUUUGCCCGGGACGAAAAGGGAUGUCAGAACACGGCAUUUCGAUGACGGUACCGGGAGAAUAAGCCACGGCUAACUCUGUGCCAGCAGCC